This 395-nucleotide unclassified non-coding RNA is filed under the name Hevea brasiliensis (rubber tree). The record is from RNAcentral. Lineage: Eukaryota; Viridiplantae; Streptophyta; Magnoliopsida; Malpighiales; Euphorbiaceae.
AUGCAAGCUUCGUCUGUUAAAUGAUCUUGAUCCUGUCCACUCAUUGCUCUUUGUGAAAUCGAUGCCAACAAUGAGAUUGGAAGACUCAAGGCCAGCACGAGCAAGAGCCUCGGUUUGAAAUCAUCAGCAAUUCUUGAAUACUUCCUAUCAAGCUGCCUUUUAUCAUUGCUAUAGUUCUGAGAGGAGGAAUAACGGUGCUGUGACUCAUAAGAUUGCUGAGGUGCGCAGUUGUAGCUAUAACUUUCUUGACCAUAAGAUUGCUGGGCCGCGUAGCUGUAGCCGUUACUUUCUUGACCAUACGAGGAAUGAGAAUAGCCAUGAUGUGAACCACCCCAUGAAGACGAAUUUGAACGUAAAGAAGAGUUCGACCUCCAACUUCCCUCCCUUGAAUUUUU